RNAcentral lists this ribosomal RNA (484 nucleotides) under uncultured bacterium. RNAcentral describes it as "partial 16S ribosomal RNA". It matches the Rfam family "Bacterial small subunit ribosomal RNA", at positions 30 to 507 of the family's 1533-position model. The record is from RNAcentral.
AUUGAACGCUGGCGGCAGGCCUAACACAUGCAAGUCGAGCGGAUGAAGGGAGCUUGCUCCUGGAUUCAGCGGCGGACGGGUGAGUAAUGCCUAGGAAUCUGCCUGGUAGUGGGGGAUAACGUCCGGAAACGGGCGCUAAUACCGCAUACGUCCUGAGGGAGAAAGUGGGGGAUCUUCGGACCUCACGCUAUCAGAUGAGCCUAGGUCGGAUUAGCUAGUUGGUGGGGUAAAGGCCUACCAAGGCGACGAUCCGUAACUGGUCUGAGAGGAUGAUCAGUCACACUGGAACUGAGACACGGUCCAGACUCAUACGGGAGGCAGCAGUGGGGAAUAUUGGACAAUGGGCGAAAGCCUGAUCCAGCCAGGCCGCGUGUGUGAAGAAGGUCUUCGGAUUGUAAAGCACUUUAAGUUGGGAGGAAGGGCAGUAAGUUAAUACCUUGCUGUUUUGACGUUACCAACAGAAUAAGCACCGGCUAACUUCGUG